Long non-coding RNA from Papio anubis (olive baboon), 2736 nucleotides. NCBI's taxonomy places the organism in Eukaryota, Metazoa, Chordata, Mammalia, Primates, Cercopithecidae. The record is from Ensembl.
AAAAGAUACUAUGUUAAAGAGGAACCACGUCUCUCACACCAUACACAGGGAUAAUACACCCAAACUCAUCAAUACAAUGCCUUUGAAUAGGACUUGGCCUUCCUCAGAGAAUAUUCAUUUUCUACAUGGUGCUGCUCUUUUCAAAAUUCUUCUAUGAUUCCAUAUACACCAAAACAGGCAUUCCCUAUUAAAUCUUCCUACCUUCAGUGUCAUGCUUCUAUGUUGUUUUGGUGGUUUCUGUUUCCUGCCUGGACCCUGACUGAUACAGGUACCAGGCUAGUUGGUUUCUGGUACUAUUUCUCAUCAAUAAGACUGGGAGCUCCCAGAGCAGCUGCAAAGAAGCUCAUUUCCAUCACCAGGAAGCCAACAGCAAUUACUGUGUCAGUACUACCAACAAAUCUGGUCUCAUGCAUUCUUCCAACCAAUGUGAAUCCAAGUGAAUAAAGCCUCCAGAAAAAUUAACCUCUGAAAAAGAGAGGUAAUCCAAUGCCAGGACACAUGUGCUCCCUGGGAUAAAACUGAAAUAUCUACAAAAACAAAAUAAGAAGAAGCCAUUUUAAUGCCUAGAGGAAGAAAAUACAGAAUAUGUGGACUGUGUGUGACCUUUGAGUAAGCCAGUGAUGCUCCAAGUACCCAUUCACAAUGAGAUCAGGAACCUGUGAUGGAAUAGAAACUAACACACUACUUUCUUCUAUGAGCAAGUCUUGCUACCAAAAUAAAUAAACAAAUACAUAAAUCAGAUGAAUUGAAAAGCAUGCUUAAUGGCUAAAUUAAUUUACAUCCUGAUGCAAACUGGUUGCAAACAGUUGGCCAACCAGAGACCACACUAUGGGUAGCACUGAAAUCCGCAUACACCAAAAAUAAAUGGAAGGAGGAAGGUUUACAGAGUGAGUCAGUCAGGGUUCAAUGUAGGAAACAGAACUCACUGUAGACAUUUAAAGCAGAAAAAGAUUUAAAACAGAGAAUUUAGUGCAGACAGAAAUGGUGGAAGGAAGAAUAAUGUGCAACAAGUCCAGAAGCCGCCACUUAGCCAAUUUGAAGAACUUCCAUCAUAACUACAAUCCAGAGAUCAGAGAGUUAGAAUUGCUGUCACGACCACCACUACCUUUUAACAUUUAUGGAUCUAGUGACUAGACAGAGGAACACUGAGUCUGGUCAAUUCAAUGGCUUCUAAAUCUUCAUGAGCUUGCUUGCCAGCUGAAAAUGACCUCCACCUCUGCCCUCCCUAUAUGCCCAUAUUUGUUUGGUACAUCUCCUUAAAGGGUAUUCAUUGGGAUCCACACCUUUGGGUUGAAAUAAGUUCUGCUUUGUGUAUGUUCAUUCUGGAGUCCAGAAUGAAAAAGUGGUGGCUGUUCAUGGAAUGUCCGAGUCGUGGUGAUGAAGCCAAACACAAGCACAUAUAAGGCUCCUGCUCACAUCAUAUCUUCUAGCAUCUCAAUGUCCAAUGCAAGUCACAUGGCAAAGCCCAUUUUCAAAGAUCUACAUUCUAUCCCCAAUAGAAAAGCACGGUAAUACUACACAGCAAAUGGUAUCAAUAUACUGUCACAGGAAAUGAAGAAUUGGUACCAAUAUCCCAAUCUUCAACAACUUUCAAAGUCUUUUUCAAUGCUACAGUUUCAUAUUCUAUAAUUCUCUGAUACAUAUUCAUAACAAUGUAUGAACUCCCUCAAUACCUAGUUAUCCACUUUCUGUCCUCCAUCAACUCCCCCAAAAGACCAUAGAUAACCAAUCUCUACCAAACUUAUCCAUUUUUAGCCCCUUCAAUCUCAAAGGAAGUGCUGUUACUCUCUCUAACCAUGGCCCAUUCCCAGGCUGUGUUCUAAAAUUUCCCCCAAAGUCUCAGAGACUUUAAUUCUACUCUAUUACUUCUUUUCUCCUAAAUCUUCACCCUGGCUUCUUUCCCAAUCAAACAUCUAUAACAAAUGCUACAAUCAAACAUGUGACCUUUGAUCUUAAAAAUAAAUGGUCUCCUAUGACAUUACAUCUCCCUUAGCAAGCCUCUUCUUCCUCAUAUUCACUUUUCCUAAAAGGGUAUAUUUAUUCACAACUUCUAUUUCCUCUUCUUUCACUUAUUCUGCAGCACUCUGAAAUCUGGCCAAAAACAACAACAAGAAGUCAUAUUUGCCAAGUUUACUGCUUAUCAUCAGAGGGUUUGGUGAGGCACGAUGAACAGCACGCUCUUUCCCUGAUUUCUGCAUCAAAAGAGAAAGAAAAAAAAAGAAUGAAGCUUUCUCUAUUAGUCUGUUUGCAUGGCUAUAAAGGAAUAUCUGAGGCUGGGAAGUUUAUAAAGAAAGGGGGUUUAUUUGGCUAGCGGUUCUGCAGGCUGUACAAGAAGCAUAGUGCCGGCAUCUGCUUCUGCUGAAGUCCUUGGGAAGCUUACAAUCAUAGUAGAAGGUGAAGAGAAAUCAACGUGUCACAUGAUGAGAAAGGAAGCAAGGGAGAGAAAAGGAGGUGCCAGACUCCUUUAAACAACCAGCUUUUGUGUGAACUACCAGAGCUGAACUGCCAGAGCAGGAACUCAGUCAUUACUAUGGGGAUGGCAAUGAAGACAUUCAUGAAGGAUACACUUCCAUGACCCAAACGCCUACCACUAGGCCUACCUCCCACACUAGAGCUCACAUUUCAACAUGAGAUUUGGAGAGAAAACAUCCAAACCAUAUUACCAACACUGAAGAAAUGUGGCUUAGAUGUGAGAGCCAAAUGAGCUUAUUAACUCUCUACACUCUUGGAUCCAAG